This 253-nucleotide ribosomal RNA is filed under the name uncultured bacterium. RNAcentral describes it as "partial 16S ribosomal RNA". It matches the Rfam family "Bacterial small subunit ribosomal RNA", at positions 524 to 776 of the family's 1533-position model. The record is from RNAcentral.
UACGGAGGGGGCUAGCGUUGUUCAGAAUUACUGGGCGUAAAGCGCACGUAGGCGGCUUUGCAAGUCAGAGGUGAAAGCCCGGGGCUCAACCCCGGAAUUGCCUUUGAGACUGCAUCGCUAGAAUUGUGGAGAGGUAAGUGGAAUUCCGAGUGUAGAGGUGAAAUUCGUAGAUAUUCGGAAGAACACCAGUGGCGAAGGCGACUUACUGGACACAUAUUGACGCUGAGGUGCGAAAGCGUGGGGAGCAAACAGG